This 253-nucleotide ribosomal RNA is filed under the name uncultured bacterium. RNAcentral describes it as "partial 16S ribosomal RNA". It matches the Rfam family "Bacterial small subunit ribosomal RNA", at positions 524 to 776 of the family's 1533-position model. The record is from RNAcentral.
UACGUAGGUGGCGAGCGUUGUCCGGAUUUACUGGGCGUAAAGAGCGCGCAGGCGGUCGUGCAAGUCGCGUGUGAAAGCCCCCGGCUCAACUGGGGAGGGUCACGCGAUACUGCUCGACUCGAAGGCAGGAGAGGGAAGUGGAAUUCCCGGUGUAGUGGUGAAAUGCGUAGAUAUCGGGAGGAACACCAGUGGCGAAGGCGACUUCCUGGCCUGUUCUUGACGCUGAGGCGCGAAAGCUAGGGGAGCAAACAGG